This 19145-nucleotide long non-coding RNA is filed under the name Ananas comosus (pineapple). RNAcentral describes it as "long non-coding RNA (ACOM_LNC028954)". Lineage: Eukaryota; Viridiplantae; Streptophyta; Magnoliopsida; Poales; Bromeliaceae. The record is from RNAcentral.
AAAAAAAAAAAAAAAAAAAAAAAAAAAAAAAAAAAAAAAAAAAAAAAAAAAAAAAAAAAAAAACGUACAGUUAUAAAUGGAACUAUAAUGAACUAAUUAAUUAUCAGAAAUAGAUAUAUUCAGAAAAUAAUCAUUUUUAAUAUAUAAACUUUUUUUGAAUCAUAGAAAUUUUUGUUUUCCUAUUUUGAAGAUGGUUUAUAUCUUUCAAAAAUGAUUAAUAUAAUGUAAAAGUAUAUAAAAAAACUAUAUAAAGAACAGUGUAGUAUAUAGUAUCAUUAAGAUACAGAAUUUUGUCUCCUCAAAAUAGAAAAAAUAAAAAUUUGGUGGGAAUAAUGCCAACGUACUUGAGAUAGUCAUCCACAAUUUCAUCACGCAAACUGCACAGAUUCCAAACAAUAUAGGUAGAAUAUUGAUUAGUCUCACGUUGCAAAAGUAUCUAUAGAUAUUUUGAAUACAAACAUAAAAUUUGUUACACAUGAUCAACACGAUACCGUGUCAUCCAGUUUCACCGUCUAUCACGCACGCACACUACUCUCUCUCUCUCUCUAUCUAUAUCUAUAUCUAUAUCUAUCUCUAUCUUUCCAUGGAAAAUCAUGUCUCACCUCCUCCCCCUCUAUUUCUCUUUGACAUUCCCUCUUAACUAACUUAACCUCAUUAAUAAUACCAAUUCCCCCUAACCAAACACCACACAACUCUCCACAUACCAAGAAAAGUAAACUGACCAAUCACACUCAACUCUAUAACCUCCUUAGUACCCCAUCCUCCUCCACUUUAAAAGGAGCUAGUACUACAAAUUAAUCAUACCCUUCUUAAUUUACAAAGCGGUAUCUGAGCAAAUACCAGUUCCAACAAGUGAUAUAUAUAUAUAUAUCAAGAGCAGAUACCCAAAACUCGCCUCCAUGUUGUGCACGGAUACGACGGCAAACCCGUCCGCCUCCGACCGGAGAAGGCUCGCAGUCCACUGCAGCCCCGCGGUGGCCGACGUCGGCUGCCUCUACCCGCGGCCGAAGCUGCUAUCCUUCCUUAAAUUCACCCCCUCGACCAAACCCCAACUCCCUAACCACCACCACCACCACCACCACCACCACCACUCUUGCUCCUCCUCGUCGUCCUCGAACUCGAAGGCGGCGGACACGGCGAGAGCGGUGACGGUCGACUCGACGGACCCGUACACCGACUUCCGCGACUCGAUGCUCGAGAUGAUCGUCGAGAUGGGGAUAUACAGAAGCGACGAGCUGCGCCGGCUCCUCGGCCGAUACCUGGAGCUCAAUUCGCCGAGCCACUGCCGCGUUAUCGUCCGCGCCUUCGCCGAUGCCCACAGAGCGGCGUUCGGGCCCCGCUCGCUGGGUUCUCCGGCCUCCGACGCCUCGAUAUCCGCGACGACUGUGGUCAGUGCGCCGAUGAGGGUUUGUAGGGGAUAGCUGGGAUACGUAGGAGGGAGAGCAGGACACAGGUGAUCGAGAUUUUGGUUCUUUGGUGAUAUAUAUGUGGGGCUAGUCCCUGUACUAUCUAAUUUUUCAACUUAUUGCCCAUUUAUUUUUCUUGUAAAUAUAUAUACAGAGAAUAAAACUUAAAUACUUUACAAGCAAAAAAAAUGGGGCGUUUAUUUCAUUGAUAGUUUUAACAGUAAGGACAUAUAAUAAAAUUAAACCUUCUCAAUCUUUGUAGAUUUGUAACUUAUACCCUUUUUUUUAAAAAAAAAAAAAGUAUAUGUGUAUAGUUGGUACUUUGAAAUAUUUCUUGUAAAUUUGAGUACUUGAUAGACGAUAGAAUUAUUUGAUACCACUCCGCCGUCUCUAUUCCGACUGGGUGAAAAAGGUUCUGCACCGCAUGCGCCAAACACGCUGAACGGACAGAGUUUUUUCUAUCCGCUCAAUUCAUCACAAUUUGUAUAAUUCGGAGUUGUUAAAUAUGUCUCGAAUUCUAGUACCGCAAGAUCUUCUAACCCUAUUUUGUUUUAAUUAUCCCAUUAAGUUAAGUUUAGAUUAUGCCGAAUUUUAUUGAGAUAUUCCUAAUCUUAGUGGGUUUGUAUUCCUAAUCAUAUUAAGAUUUAACCACUAAAUAAAUAUACCCUUUCUGCUAUUGAUUUAGUGCGGAAGAUGAGAGAGGAAAUAUGGGUGUAUUUUUGGGAUUAGGGUUUUGUGAGAGAGGCAUAUUUUGUACAUCACUUUGAUUAUAAUAAAAAUCUCCGCUCCGUCUUUGCCCGUGGUUAGCCGAACCACGUAAAUAUUGUGUGUUUUAUUUUUCUUCUCUCUUUCUCGGAUCUCUUUUGGUAUUUUCGCAUCCGACGAACUAGAUCUUCUCGGUUUUAGUUCUAACAGGAGUUGAUGUAUAAACAGUUAUUAUUAUAUUAUUCUAGUUUACGAAACUAAUAUUUUAUAUAUGCUCACACUUUAUUUGUGAAUUGUGAAUAAAGUGUACGGUGGAUUGUUUAUAUUUUAUUAAGACUCUUGAUAUUAUAUUUAUCUCUUAAAACUCAAUUCAUAUUUUGGCCUCAUUAUCGAAUUCUAUCAAAAGUAGUUUUUAUCAACUUAGUUAUCAUUUGCAUCAUCGUAAUAUAUAUAAUGUCAGAAAAACUUGUUCGAUUACAUGAUUGUUUUGCAUGCACCGAGUCCUAACUUUAAUUUGUGAGUUGUGACCCGAACUAAAAAAUUCUAAAAAAUUUUUAGACUUUUAUCUUGCAAAUAGAAUAAAAGGGACUUAUAUAUAUAUAACCUCUAACACUGUUAAUAGUAUAUAAAUAUAGUAUUUGCUAUUAAUUUUUUUUUAACUCUUAUAUGUUUAGGAUUUACUAUUUGGUGGUGGUUCUUUGGCACGUUCGACAACAUGAUUCUUUCUGAUGCCGAUCGUCUUGUAUAUAUUUUUUGAAUUAGAGUUUGGUUUUCUUUUUUUUUUUGAGAGAGAGAGAUAGUAGCACGGUACCCGCUUCGUUUAUUUCAUUUAAAAAUUAACUUAGGUGAAAAUGUGAAUCAACUAGGAUUCGAACUUGGGACCUCGGAUAUCAAUCAUCAAACCCUUUGCCACUUGCUCUAGAGACAGUUGGUCAGAGUUUGGUUUUCAGUUUUAUUUUUGCAAUGGAGUCCUUACUUUUGGGAGUCGAAUUUAAAAGAUCUAAAAAAAACUUAUUCUUUUAUCUUGCAACCAAAAUAAAAGUGACUUGACCUUUAGUCUAGCUAAAGUACUAUUAAUACUGUAUGAAUAGCAUUUGCUAUUUAAAUUCAGAGCUAAAUUAUAUAAAAUUUUUCUUUCAAAAUCUAAUUUUUCAUUUUCUCUCCCUGUCAUUUAAAAACCUACACUUUGCUCCCUUAUAAAAUAAAAAAUGUUCACGGAGGGUACGUUGUGAAAUAUGAUGACAAAAUGACCAUUUUGCUCCUUACCAUUUUCGUCUCCUCCCUCAUCUCGCUCAUCCGCCGCCUCGGUUGGCCACGGUUCACGCUGCGAUCGGCUGCGAUUCCUCUCCAUUUUCUUCUCCACCUGCUCCCCUUCUCCUCCUGCACCCUCGUUGCCCCUCUAUUUCAGUGACAGUAGGAAGGAAAUCAAGGUGGGCGUGGAUGGAAAGGUGGGCAAGGGCAACAAGGGCGCAAGCGAGGCGGCGGAGGAGGGCGAGAGGGUAUUUGUGGGCGCGGACAGAAAUAUGGGUGAGGGCGAGGUAGUGAUGGAAGGCGAGUCGGUGAGGCGGCGAGGCGGAGGAGGGCGAAGCACAAUAGAGAGGGCGGAGGGUACAUUUUUGGCAUAAAAAAUAUUUUAUAACGUAUAACCCUAACGGUAGGGGGUGAUGUGAAUAUUUUUCAUUUUACAAUGGGACAAAGUGUAGGUUUUUAAAUGACAGGGGGGAAAGUGAAAAAUCGGGUUUUGACAGUGAGGUUUUCUAUAAUUUAGCCAAUUCAACUCUGAAGUUUGAAAGAUGGUAUAAAUUAUAAUUCAAAAUUACAAUUCAAAUUCAAAUAUUUUAUUUCAAGUUUGAGUUCAAAUUUAAAUUCUAAAUUUUGUUUUGAAUUCAAUUUUGAGACCAAAAGCUUGGACAUCACAUAUGAAAUUUAAAGUUUGAAUUUGAAUUCAAAUUUAAGGAGUUCGGCUACUACUGUUAUGAAUACGAACGUCUUGGUACUCAUAAGUCGUUUUCGAUGAUAGAGCUUCCAAAUCAACGAUCCAUACCGUUAAACAUUAUCUGGAGUAUCUACAACUUCUAGAAAUCAAAUUUCAUAAUUUUUUGAAAUUAUUUACCUUACGAUCGAAAGAUCUCAAAAUUGACAAUUUUUAAGAGCCGAUAUGGGAUAUUUGCUAGUUUAACGGUGUAAAAGAACCGAAAUCGAUUGAAUUUUUGAUAAAAAAUUUUGUUCACUGUCGAGAUAAAGAUCAAUCACUCUAAUCUUAAAUUGAAGGAUCAGAUCAUCCAUUUUUAGGACGUCAUUCAAUUUUGACCUUUCAUUUUACACCCGCCUGAUGGACUCUAUUAUGAUUUUGAAAAAUUAUGAAAUUUAUUUUUUAGAAAUUUUAAAUACUCUAAAUCAUGUUUAAUAGAGUGAAUCAUCGAUUCGGAAGCUCGAUCAUCGAAAAUAACUUAUAAGUAUUACACUCAUAAGAGUACAGUAGCCCUACUCCAAAUUUAAGCACUAUGCCUUAGCUAAUGCAGCAUUUUCACUAACUUGCGAAAUUCAAAACAAAAUCUAAACUUUGAAUUUAAAAUCCAAAUUCAAAAUUUUAAGAAGUUUGACUUUAAAAGCAUUAUUUGUAUUCAAAUUUACUUUCAAAUUCAAAUUUGAAAGUAAAAUUUUAAAUUUUGAAAUUUGAAUUCAUUUAUUAUGUUAAAUAAUACCAGUGAAGAGAUUUAAAAAAUAAAUCUAAUCUAAUAUUUAAAAAUAUAAUAUGAUCUAAUUAGAAAAGUCAUCCUCUAUAUAAAGAUAGCCCUGUCAUAUGGAAAUGCCAAACACAAUAAUGGACUAUUAUUUAUCCAAUCCAAUCCUAAUCCUAUCCUAUCAAAUUCCUACAAUUAUUCUUUCCAAUUUAAUCCUUAAUGCCAAAAAUGCCCUAUACAGAUAUAUGGGACUAUCUUAAUCAUGAAAAAGUCUAAACCGCGGCAAUCAUAUGCUGCAAUAAUAAUAUAUGCGAGAUGGUAUCUUCAAUCAAUCAAACUGUCUCUCUAAGAAUCACCCAUCCCAUCAUGAUUUUCAAAAAAAAAAAUUUGUUUUACUUUUUUCUUACAAGAAAAGAUUUGAUUGGUUGGACAUAAAUGAUCUGGUGUAACUGCUAUAUAGUAAAUUUUCUCUGUAGUUGCAUAGUGCAAGUUUACCACAUGACUACUAUUUUGGAGUACUCCAUUUCUUAAAGUGGAAUUAAUCCAUUUUGUUACUGUAGUUAGGAAUAGUGAGAAUUAGUUCGUAAUUAUAAGGGCAGUAAAUUCCACCAUUCCCUAUUAAAUCGAUAUUCUUGGGUUUAGGGUUCAGCGAACUAGUUCAAAAAUAAGGAGAGGAAUAGAUUCUUUUUUUUCUUUUUUCUUUUUUUGAGAGAUAGGUAGUAUUCUACCCGCUUCGUUUACUUCAUUUAGAAAUAAACUUAGGGCACAUUUGGUUCGCACUAUGAAAGAUUACUAGGAGUAAAAAAAUAUCCGAAAAUCUUAUUCCUAUUCAUCCUAUUACUAAGAAUGUAACAUUUCAGUAUUUGAUUCGUACGAUCAUAUUAUUUAGUCAUAUUAUUUAAAAUUAUAUAAAAUAUACAAUUAAUUUAUUUAUUUUUUAAAUUAAUUUUAAAUAAUACUAUAAAAAAUUUCAACAUCUUUUUAGAAAAAAGAGAGAGAGAAUAUAGNGUUAGAGAGAAUGAGAGAGUUGAAAUUUUAGAAAAAAAAGGGGAGAAAUAGUUUAGUUUAGAGAGAGAAAAAGAGUUGACGUUUAGAGAGAAAAAGGUAAAUUUACAGAGAGAUAUGAGGUUAGAGUAUAUAGGAAAAUAAUACCAACUAGUCGGCGGGUACCGACCGUCCCUAGAGCAAGUGGCAAAAAGCUUGAUGGUUGGUACUCAAGACUCAAGUUUGAACCCUAGUUGAUUCACAUUUCCAGUUGAGUUUAUUUCUAAAUGAAAUAAACGAAGCGGGUAGCGUGCUACCUAUCCCUCAAAAAAAAAAAAAAACUAGUCGGCGGGUAGAAAAAAAGAAAAAGAUUAGACAUAUUAUGAUUACCCAAAUUCAUUAAUUUGAGAAUACCCACCCUCCCUCAAAGGAAUGAUAUUAGUACUUUGGAAUAAAUCUCAUUUCUAAGUAAAUUCAGUAUUACAAACUAAAUUAUUUAGUGCGUUUAGCCAAACACCGUUAUAUUUUUUUAUUCCUAUUGGAUUACUAGAAAUCUUAAAACGAUAGCGCGAACCAAACGCACCCUAGCUGAAAAUAUGAAUCAAGUAGGAUUAUCUUGGGUACCAACCACCAAACCUUUUGUCACUUCUGCUAGGGACGGUCGGUAAGGAGAGGAAUAGAUUCAAUAGAAGGAAAAGGGUAUGAAGCACCGUUCCAAGAAUGAGGGGAUGAACAGGUUCGAUGAAAGAAAAGGAAUAGAAAGCACUAAUAAGUGGGUCCCACUUGCAAAAAGAAUCAGUUCAAUGUUGAAAUAUUGAUAGGUAGAUCCUACCGUCCCCAAAUUAAGCAUAGUAUGCCACGUGGACUCAAUUAGGGGGAUUAAGGGUGUUUUAUUAUAGAUUAUUAUAGAUUCUUUUGGGGAUAAACUUGGAAGAAAAAUAUAUUUCAUUUAGUUCCACGUGAAGAUAUAUACUUGUGCUUAGGGCACCAUGAAGAACUUGUAUUACUUUUCCUACUAGCACUACUCCUUAAUUUUAGUAUUUUUAGAGGUUGCUUGGUUGUAUAUACUUAAUUACAAAUAUAUUAGAAUUAAGAAUAUAUAUUACAUUACAAAUGCAGGUAUUCCAUUUGUAUUAAACUCCCAUGGCGCUCUAUGUGGUUGAUUGCUUGUAGUUGUACAGUGUCUUUGCAGAAUUUGUUGUUGUAUGGAGAUGAGGAGAUUACCUCAAAUGAAUAAAAUGAGUGGAAAUGUAAGAUAAGUUUUGCUUUUAUACUGUAGUUACUCUUUUCAGAUAUUGUAUUUUCAACUACGUCUAAUUUAAGUGUAGAUCAAAAUUUGCAGCAGUUUGACUUUCAUCUAAACCUUCAACUGCAAUAUCCAACUACAAGUACUGCAGUAAGUUAACUAAAUAUUUUUGACUUUUCUGCAGGUUGCUUCUGUAUUGCAACUUCAAAUGCAAUAUAUCAUCAAUUAAGCAUUAACUGCAGUUAAUGAGUCAAAUUUAUAAUAUUUUCAAUUAUUAAUGCUUGAUUUGCACAUCUUCUGUCGUAUAAAUAACCUCCUGAGGUAGCCAAACCAUUACUCUCAUCACAUAUGUAUAGAUGAUUCUAAGUCUAAGUCCAGCAAUUUAUUCAGUGAGAAGAACCUUUAACUGGUUUAUGGUGACAAUGUAUCCCAUGAAACUAUAAAUUGAAAGCAUCAUGCCAUCUAACUAGGGCUUCAACAAAUUGAUUUGCUUGUGCAAUGAAUGUGAAUUUAUGUGGGAGUUGUAGAAAGGUACAAAAAAUUAUUCAAUAGCAAUUUUUUUCCCCCUUUUUUGUUUGAUGUUAAACUUCAUAGACAAUUACUUAUAAAAGGAUAGAGUUUGAUUACAAUAUUGCACGAUUUUGAAAAAAAGAAAAAAACAAAAACAAAGCACAUUUUUAUAUGAAGAGACAAAAACCCAUGAAAUCAAAUUAAAUCGAUAAUUUUGAUUUGGUUUGAUUUGAAAAGGUUUUCAAACAAUAAAUUUUUGUUUAAUUUGGAAUAGAAGAUUUAAAAAUUAAACCAACACAAACCUGAAACCUGAGUAUAUUUUUUCAUACAAAAUUAUGCAUACUUGUAUGUAUGCAUUCGUAUAUAUAUUGGUAUAGGUAUAAAUAUGUAUAAAAAUAUAACAUUAAAAUAUAAAGUUACUGCUUAACACACCAUAACACCAGCUUAAUCCUAAAUAUUAAUUUUGAUAAAUUAAAAAACUAAAAAGAAAAAGACCAAUAAACUAUACAAAUUAUCUUUAAAAAUUCAACUGCUCAAACCCACAAACGAAACUGAAACCAAAUUAAAAAGUUUGAUUUGGUUUGAUUUGGUUUUGAUUUAUACAAAUUGAAAUUGUGUAACAAGAAUCAAAUCCCUAAUUAUAAAUAAGAUUUUUUUUUUCAAUAAAAGAGUAAUACUAGGGAUACCUGUAAUGUACCCAUAUAAGCUAAUGAUGUGAAGCUAAUGAUGAUGAUUUAUCUUUCACUAUUUAUGUGGAAUGUCACAUUAAUUAUCAUUGAAUUUUAGAUUUUGAUGUGUAUCUUAAAUAUGCAUAUUUAAAAUAGGAGUUUUGCUUAUUUAUUAGUGACAACUAUUCUUAUUGAUUUCUAAAAUUUAUUCAAAUAUUUUCAAAUCCCUAGAGUUACUAAUGGUAAUUGAAUUUUAGAAGGGCAUUUUGAUAAUUUUAGAGUAAAUUAAAAAUUUUGAAUAGUUGUCACUAAUAAAUAAGCAAAACUCCUAUUUUAAAUAUGCAUAUUUAAGAUACACAUCAAAAUCUAAAAUUCAAUUACCAUUAGUAACUCUAGGGAUUUGAAAAUAUUUGAAUAAAUUUUAGAAAUCAAUAAGAAUAGUUUGGUCGACCAAGGUAUAAAACAUAUUUUUAAAAUUUUGAAGAAUAUAUUAAAUAUUAUCCCUUUAAAUAUGAGUUACGUCCUAAGACGCUCAUAAUACUAGCAAUUGUAAGAUAUGCAUCAUGAGCAUUUAUAUUUGAAAUUAUUACCUGUAAAUCUACAUAUAUAAUUUUACAUCCUUUGUAUCUUAGAAUUCAUAAUUCUUUUCAAGUUUAGUAAAUUUUUUUUAAAAAAUUGAUAAGGCUAGGGAGGGAAUAUGCUGUUAGACUUGAGUCAUAUGACCCAUUUCGGUGUGGCUCUAUGUGACAACCCAAUAGUUCCACAUCGGAUGGGAAUAGAGUUGUCAUUGGGUUUAUAAGAGGACUCUAUCCUAAUAAUAAUAUAUGAGCUUAAGCAUUAUGGGCUAGUGUUUGGGGUCCAACGAGUUAUUAUUGUUAGUGGAUUAGAUCAUUACAUUUUGUAUCAAAGCUAGUUCAUCAGCCAGAAGUGUGAGAUGAGUCUUGGCUGAGUUAGGGUCGGAAUGAUGGACUAAGCCAGGAUCGGUGAUUGACAGGCUAAGUUAGGGUCGAAAUGACAAAGGCUAGCGAGAUAAAUCUCACAUCGCCUGGUGAUCUUAGGCUAUGUGUGUUUAGGGCUAACAAACACAUCAGGGCCUAAAUAGGAGGAGUCUGUGACAUUCCAAUAAUCCCACAUCGGAUGGAAAUAAGGUUGUCAUUGGGUUUAUAAGAGGACUCCACCCUAAUUGACAAGGACGUCCUACAUCGGAUGAGAAUAAAGUUGUCAUUAGGUUUAUAAGAGGACUUCACCCUGGAUGGGAAUAAGGUUGUCUUUGGGUUUAUAAGACGACUCCACCUAAUUGACAAAGAUGUCAGGGACUAAAUAGGGGGAGUCUGUGACAUCCCAAUAGUCUCACAUCGGAUGGGAAUAAAUAGGGGAAGUCUGUGACAUCCCAAUAGUCCCACCGGCGACCUCAGCCAUCUAACCCUAGCCGCACCCAACCUCUCUCUGUGAGGUGCCGCACACCCUCCGGCCACCGGCGACCCUCCCCCGGCCGGCCAAACCUGCUGCCACCUCCCUCUCUCUCUUUCCCUCAAGCUCUCCCUCUCUAUAUCUCCCUCUCUAGACCCGAGGCCACUAGGGGAGUUGUGCUCUGGUGGACCUUCCUCUCCCCUAUUUCCUGGACCUCCGGCGACCUCCCCGGCCAUCCCUGGCCAUCCCUGUGCCGCCAGAAAGCCGCCGCAGCCGCCGUUCUGCUGGUUGGCGUUAUCCCUGGUAGUGGCUGCCGAGCAUCCUUGAAGCACCGCCGUCGCUGCUGCCACCUCCCUCCGGCCUCAAGGGACCCGCCGCUAUCGUUCCCAACCUAUCCCAGCCGUUGUCGUUGCUGGGAGGAGCUGCCGAGCCCGAGCUCUUAACUCGGGUUAGCCUCACUUGCUUCCAACGCCGCCGCCGCCGCUCCUCACAGUCGGCGAAGGUGAGCACGGUGUUCCUCACCUUCCCCGCAUCCACUCCUAGCCCGUGCGCGUGACGUCGUGCCGCCGGCAGCCGGCCGGAGCAAGCCUGCUUUGGCCAAGCCCGAAAUGGAGCAUUUCUUAGGUUGUUCACUAUUUCAAGCAACCCGAGGCCUCCCGAUCUUUAAGAAAGGGAGCACGAUGAUCGUGACUCCUCACUGAUUAUCGUGCUCACCUCAGGUUCUGUCGAGAAGGCUUCGUUUCGCAUUUUUCGGCGAUGUCACUCCUUUGGGUCCAAUAUGCUCCGCAGUCGCUUUUGAUGCCUCGUACAGGGAGCAUGGGCUUCGCUAUAAUGAGACCUUGCUGUUGGUGCCGUCGGUUGUUCUCAAAAUCGCGCGAUAGCGGUGAUGUUGCCUUUUUAGUGUGUAAAUUCAUGAGUUUAUGCUAUUUAUGUAUGGUUUGAGGGCUUCCAUGCAAUUGUCACAGCAUGAGCUACCUCGGGCAGUGUGAGACCACCUCGCGUGACCUUCUAACUGAUUGUCCAAGUCCUUGAUGCUCUCGCGAGAUCGAAUCGUGUUCCGGAGCAUUUUUCUGACGAAAUUAUCGACAGAACGUGUUUAUCAGUGUGGGACUCGCUUUGUGAAGUUGUGGAUGCCCUAGUUUUGUUGCUGAGCCUUGUUGGCUAGUUUUUCUUGCUGUCUCGAAGUUUCAGAGACAACGGAUGAGCGACAGAGGGUUCCAGUGCCAAAAACGACAUUUUCGAGAACCCAGAAUGUCAUUACGGAUGCGUUUAUGUCUUUAUGCACCCUAGACUUGUGUUUGCUGUCCGACCACCUAAAUUGGUGUGCUUCCGGACAGCGGGUGACUUGGGUUGCUUAUUGGUAACUUUCGGGGUAUUUCUUUGAGUUCGAAAUUGCUCCGGUGGAUUUUUCUAAAAUUUCGGCCAUUUCAGGAUUAUAAGUUUAGCGUUUUUGAGUCGACUCGAUGGACUAUGACUUGGUAGGUAUUUCAUAGGUGCAGUCAAUGUUCCUGCGAUCCUUUGGUGUUAGGCUCUUCUCCAGUUCUGGUGGGUGCUUCGAUCCGCAGUUGGUACAGUGGACUAGCUCGGUGAUACUUCUCCUUUCCCUUUCCUUGCAUAUUAUGGAUAAGCGUGAUUCCGCUCGGCUUCCAGUUAUUGUUCUCUAACUUCCAUCCCUGCAUAUGAUAUUAGUAGAGUGGUGUGGUGUAUUUUGUAUGAUCUUGUGGUGCGACCUGAUUGGCCUUUGUUGAUCGGCUCGAUGAUCCGAGUGAUUUGUUGGACAUAUGUUAGUUGUUGCUAUUCUUGGCUUGUCGUCGUCCUGUAGAUUGAGCAUUUUGUAUUGAUCGUCACAGCUCAUUUAGCACUUCAUGUAUACUAGUGGUUUGGUCACCGUGGGGGUGUUCUUUUUCGAAAGGUGAUCGUCUUCUCGACCCGUGAGCCUUUUGCCAGGUGUUUGCAAAGGUUGCGUGCCUGGUAGGUGAGCAUACUGUGACAUAGCCUACGAUCUGCAAAUCUAUAGGGCACAGUGAUAGGGUUUUCAGUUUAUCUACAGUUGAUGCAUAUGUUUAUUGUUUGUAGUAGCAGUAGUUGUUCAUAUUUGUUUAUAUAUAUUCUCUAUUAUUCGUUACUGUACUUGUUAUAUACAUAUCUAUAUGUUGUUUUUCCUUAGCCGGUGCAUACACCUUACCUUUGUCGGCUUGCGGUACCCACUGGGAGGGGAGACAUGUUUACAUAUUCUCAUCCCCGCCAUUUUUCAGGUGAUCUCGGUGGUGGGAGUCGGGACAUUGUGUGAGGCGCGAUAGCUAGUGAGCUAUAGAGGUUCCGACCAGUUUUCACUCGAUUUUCGGUUAUUCUAUCUUGACCCUUCUCAUCUUAUUGGUUAAUAAAUUAGAUUUUAUGUGGUUCAGUUAUUCAGCUAUUUGGUGGUUUUUGAAUAUUGUAAAUACUUGUUUAUUCUCAAUGAAUCAUGGUGACAUAUGUGGUUUAUUUGAGACACGCGGUUGAUGGUUUUAUCGUACGUGAUUUUCUACUCCUCAUGGUAGCUGGCUUUUCAAAAGUGAGUUUUAGUGUGGGAAGUAGUUUUCAAAUGACUUUCAAAUUUAUCGAUCUUUAGUGUUUUUAAAUAUAGUUUUCGGGUAGGAAACACUUUUAAAGAAUAGAACUGAUUGCUGUAAUGUGUAUUGGCAUCAUCCUUCACCUAAGGAGUAUUUAGAGUAUGCAUCAUCAUAAGGAUUGUUAGCUGAAUGAUUAUCUGGCAUCCACAUUGUGUAUGUUGUUUGUGUGAAUGGAUGAAUGCGUUGUUGUGUAUGUUAUAUUGGUACGCCGUGUAGAUACAGGAAAGACUGUCUGUGUGGACAAAGAGAUUUGUAUAUCUGUGGCAGGUCUAUUACGUUUUGGAGACAAGUUGUAAUUUUUAAAAAAAUAUGGGCAUUUUCGCUGACUUUGUUUCAAAUUGGCCCUUUUUAUUCAAAAAGCUUUACAAAAAGGACCUCGGGCAAUGACAAAUCCACAUAUUUUCCAACAGUAAUUGGUAUCAAAGACUGGUUAUGGUCUUGGUAUUUGAUUCGAUCACUUUCUUCUUUUAAUAUUUACUUUAAAAUUCUUCCAAAUAAAAGAAUUAGAGGAAGAAAGUGGAAUUAUUUUCAUGUUUAAUAUCGUAUAGUAGUUGAUGGUUUUUGAAUGAAAUGAUACUUUAAUUAUUUCUUGCUAUUUUUAAUCGAGAAUGUUUUAGUCCAAUACCAUAAGAACAUAUAAUAUGUUAUAUCUUGGAUGCAUGUGUUUGGAUGAAAAUUAAUCAAGGAUCUCAUGUGUAUCACAAAUUUAUUGUUACUGUUUCUUUUGGAAGAAAUAGUAGAUGACAAUGAUUGCCUAUUUUCAUGAAACAUGUCUUGUAAACAUCUCAUUUCAGGUUCGAAGUAGGAAACUCUCGAGUGUGAGAUUUGUGUGGUGACUAUCUAACACUAUCAUCACGUUAUGCUUCAACUAUUCUUAAGUAUAAUAAAGAUCCGGUCCUCGCAGCCAUUAAUAACUUGUAUAGUUCUACUCUUUACAUCCUUUUUUUUUUUUCAAAUAGAUCAUAGGUAUCUUAACACCUAGUGUGUAAUCUUUUGAUAUAUGUUGUUUUUUAUGGAAUACUUAAGUAUUAUAUCUAUCCUAUAAAACCUGUUAAGAUCUGUCAAGCCUAUAUUGUUUGAUGCCAUGAAGGAAGAGCUAGACUCCAUGAAUAAAAAUCAUGUUUGAUAUCUUGUAGAUUCUCUUGAGAAAGAUAAACCUAUUUGGAUGCAGAUAGAUUGAUAUACAAAAUCAAGAGAAACUCUAAAGGUGAAAUCGAAAGGUACAAGGCCAAACUUACUGCUCAAGAUUUCACUCAAAGAGAGAGAGCAUAGACUAUAAUGAGACAUUAUUUCCGAUUUCUUCAAAAAACUUAUUUAGAAUAAUUUUGGCCCUUAUAGCUUAUUAUGAUUUUGAACUACAUCAAAUGAAUAUGAAAACGACCUUUUUGAAUGGUGAUCUAGAAGAAGAGGUAUAUAUGAGACAAUCUCAGGGUUUCGUUGCAAAUGAUAAAAGUCAUAAAGUAUGCAAAUUAAGAAAGUCAAUAUAUGGACUUAAACAAUUCUCCCGUCAGUGGUUUCUAAACUCAAUAGGUUUAUCCUAUCAUACAGGUUUACACUAAAUACUGUUGAUCGGUGCAUACACCUAAAAGUCAGUGGUAGUAAGUUCACAAUAUUAGCAUUAUGUUGGUGAUAUAUUGUUUGCCAAUAAUGACUUAGGAAUAUUGCAUGAAACAAACAGAUUUUUUUUUCACAAAUUUUGAGAUGAAGAAUAUGGGUGAAGCUGGUUAUAUUUCAACAUUGAGAUUCAUCGAGAUAGACAUAAAGGCAUUCUUGGUUUAUCUCAGAAGGCUUAUAUUUCUAAAGUCCUUGAAAUAUUUGGAAUGAUAAGUUGUUUUUCUGGACCUGCACCUAUUGUGAAGGGAGAUAGACUUAGCUUUAAACAGUGCCCGAAGAAUGAAAUCGAAAGAAAGCAAAUGAGGAACAUACCAUAUGCUUCGGUAGUUGGGAGUGUACAGUAUACUCACACGUGUAUUCAUCCAGACAUUUCUUAUGCUGUUGGGUUACUUGGUCGUUUUUAAAGUAACCAUGGUAUAGAACAUUGGAAGACUGGCAAAAAAGUCAUGCUUUAUCUUCAAGGAACACGAGAUUACAUGCUCACAUAUCAGAAGUCUAACCAUCUCGAGCUUGUAGGUUACUCAGAUGCAAAUUUUGCGAGGUGCCAAGGUAGUAGGAAAUCGACAACUAGUCUUAUAUUCCUACUUGCAGGAAGUGCCAUUACAUGGAGAAGUAUCAAACAAAAGACAAUUGCUCCAUCCACAAUGGAAGCUAAGGUUAUAGCCUACUUCAAAGCUUCAUCACAGACUAUUUGGCUAAGAACUUUAUUAUCGGUCUUAAGAUUGUGGACUCUAUAGUAAGGCCACUGCAGAUAUACUGUGAUAAUGAAGUUGUUGUUUCUUUUGCUAACAGCAACAAGAGCCUAGUUCAUGCUGGUAUCUGAAUAUAAAGCUCUAUGUGAUUGAUGAGCGAGUUAAUAAUCAUAUAGGAUCUGUAGAUCACAUUGGGAUAUAGUAUGUACUUGCAGACCCAUUUACCAAAGGGCUACCACUAGAGUUAUACAUAGUAAAGAAUAUGGGUCUCACUAGUUUAUUUUACAUAUAAGUGAUUUACAUUAUGAUAAUUAUGUGAUUAUAGUUGGUUUGUAUGAUUAUCUAUUUUAGUAUUUUGGACCAUCGAAUAGGUUUAAAAUUUUUCUAUUCAUAAAGUUUUCCACAAUAAAGUAUACGUACAAGAAAGUAUUGUGGUGAAUAGAAGGUCGUACUAACUAUUUUGGAUAUUUGCCGCUAUGACUCAUAUUAUUAAUACUUGUGGCAAAGUAUAAAGUUUUCCAUAAAUGUUGGAGUGAAUGUUGAUUCUCUUUAAAAGUGGUGCCACAUUUGGAUUUAUGAAUUUUCUAAUCCCAUCAAUAUUUUAUUUAAAAAUAUAUAUGUGGAUAUUAUUUUGUCUAUAAGUUGUGAUCAUGUCAAAUUGGUCAAGUGGGAGAAUGUUAGACUUGAGUCAUAUGAUCCAUUUCAGUGUGGCCCUAUUUGAGUGACUUGCAACCUAUUGGAUGGGGUUAGCAUUAUUACCCACUCCAUUAAGUUGUGUUAGGAAAAAUUAUCGCACUGAAAAUUCAAUUGUGACUAAUGAUCUAACUAAUUUUAUGAUAAAGAUAAAAUCGAACUUACAGAUAAAUGUUAAAAUCCAAAUAAAUAAUUUAACUAAUCUGAAAGUGUGCUUAGCACUACCCUAAGGAGUUUCCCGUCCUUCCUGCGGGAUUAACCAGAAACAUCGUCCUAAUGUACGAUUGGAAUUCCUCUUCCUACGAGCACGAACAUGGAAGAGGUUGACCGAGACUCUUCAACACCCAAUGAUAAAAAGAUCAAACAAAAUAAAAUUAAAAUUAAAACAAAUAAGAAAUUCUUUUCUCUCCCUUUUUUUCUUUUAUUUCCUUCUACAAUGUUCAUAUUCCAUGAACAGUAGAGAAGGCGGUAUAAAUAGGGGUGUGAAUGGAACGUUGGAGGCGCCCAACGUUCCACUCCAUUAAUCCCAUUUAAUGUCGUAUGUUCCAACCUAUUAAUUAAAUAAAUAAAUAAUAAUAAAUACUAAUGUAAAAUAAUUCGAAUGAUUAAAUUUAAUAAAUUCAUCGACUAAUUUGAUUGUAAUCAAAAUGAUUUAAUUCUUAAAAAAAUUAAAAAAAUAUGGGAAGUAGUAUAGAGGACUAUUGUGGAAUAAGGUAUACUCGAGAGGAUCUCCAUGCAUUUUUGACUGUAAUAAAGUAAUAAUAAUAAUAAUAAUAAUAAUAAUAAUAAUAAUAAUUUAAUUAAGAAAGAUUCGGAGCUUUGGAGUCGGGGCACCACUGCUGGAAGCAGUAUCUCGACUGCAGUUUUUUGGCAGCACAAGAGGGGCUUCGAGAUUUCGUACGCGACGAAUCGUCCUCGCGUCCCCUUUCCAAUUUUACCCUCGCUCGCCCACCGGUUCGAAUGAGCCGGCCGGUUCAUUCACCACAAAAAAAAAACCUAGGCGGUUUGAUCGAUUCCCCUUUCCCAUUUCCCAUUUCCACACUGGUUUGUGUGUGUGCGUGCGUGUGUGUAUAUAUAUAUGUAUAUAUUUGAGGAGAUCCACCUCAUUUCUCCAUGUAUUUGUCUUGGGUUUUCUCUGUUUUAUCGAUUUAGAAGGUGAGAGAUCUACGAGGAGGAGGAGAUGUGUAAGAUAUCGAAAUUCGACGAUAUUGGCUAACUUUGGCCAAAUGGACCAAAGUGGGCGAUUAAACGAUUUGGACAAGUUCCAUUUGGUAUUUCAACAUGUUUGGAAGAGUAAAAAUGAGUUCCAAAAGUGUUGGAAUAGUUUUAGCGUUGUUGGACGCGAAAAGAAAUCGAAACAGAUCGAGAAAUAGCUUUCUGGAGCUGGUGUNGUUGCUUAGCCUUGGGCGGACAGGGGAGACUCUGUCCGUUCGGCGGUCGCGCACGCCGCCCUCGAAUCGGACCAAAUUGGUACCGUUUUCGGGCGGUGCGGUCUGGGGCGUGACAAGAUGGGAUUGAAUGAUAAUAAAAGAGUUAAUAAAAUAAAAAUAGUACUUGAAAAAUUUUGGAUUUUUCACCAACAAGUUGAUUAUGAAAAAAUGGUGAAAACAGUUAUGGAGAGUUGGAUCCACUACCUCACGAAUUGGUAGUUAUCCCCAUUCAACUUCUUGGUAGUUAUCCUGAUGAUGGGAAAGGAGGAAUAGUGAUAUACAUAUGGAAUGGUCAUUUCCCUUUAAUGGUGUGAAAAAAUUACAAGAUUGUGAACCCAUCAUAGAAAAAAUUACAAGAUUGUGAACCCAUCAUAAUUUCACCAUUGUAUGAGAAAUAACCAUUGCAGUUACAUAAUUGCAUUCCGAUUAGUUCAAUGAGAACCAUAGGAGUCGAUCAAGAUGCAGGAUCGAGAGGUGCUCGGAGACGAGAUUAAAGUGUUUAGGACGAUUCUCAAUUGCAAUUUCACUAUGGCAUUAGGUAUAAUCCGCAUGUUUUCCAACAUAUGCGCUUUGAUGAAUGAGGUAUAAAUUUUCUAUCUAAUUUAUAUCUAAUUUAUGGAUGUACAAAUAACAUUGCUGUUUAUAUUCAAAAGGGUUAAUUACGCUAACAACUCGUGAAUUUUUGCUAAAACUCUACUUUUGCUCUCACUUCUCCAAAAUAAACUUAAUUUAGUUAAUUAGUACCCUGUGAACUUUUAAUAAUACGUCAAAUUGGGUCGUCGCACUAUUUGAUGUUAAGUUCAUAGACAUAAAGACGAUAUUUAUUACAUGACAUUUGCAGUGAAAUUGAGCUUUGCUCUGAAAAGUAUAAAUAUUUGCUUUGUUACAUGUUAAGCUCCAAUCUGUAUCUUUUCUGCAUACAUGGGUUAACAAGUUUGCUUAUCUGGUAUUCAGAUUAUUUUUUCAUCAAUAAAAUCUACAUCAAAUGACAAAAUAGAUCAAUUUAAUAUAUUUUUGAAAAAGGUUAAAAAAUAAUUAAGAUAUAAAGUAAAAUUUUGGUGAAAGUUCGGAACUACUAAUGCAACUUUCAAAAUGGUCUAUUUAUGCGGCCAAUUUAGCAUUAAAAUUUUUGGAAAAGCAUAACUCAAUCAAGAUGGGUUGAAAAUCUCAUUGAACUCGGUAAUUUUUAUAAUAGGUGUGGAAAAUCUUAAAGGUCUGUUUGUUUUGGGUUGAAAUGAAUUUUCGGUUGAACUAGAGUUCAGGUAGAAAUUGCUUCAUCUCCGCUAUUUAUUUCUAGUUGUGGAAGUGAAGUUCUGUCAAUUCUGUUAUUUGUUUGGCAGAAAAUAAAUGACGUAAAAAAUACAGUUCUCCACUUUCUCUAUUUGUUUCACCGAAAAUUAUUCAAUCUCCACACCCCUGGCAACCUCUUACAUAAUAUUAUUGUCUAUUUUCUAACUUAAUAAUAAUAAAUUAUAAUAAAUAAAAAAUAAUGUAAUUAUAUGUCCAUAAAAUUAUAAAAUAAAAUUUAAAAUAAUUAUAUUAACUUUUUUGUAUAUAAAUUAUAAUAAUGCAACAAAUAAAAUUCUAAAGUUAAAGAAUUAUUAACAUUUAACAAAUUAAUUUUCGUCGUUUUUUAAAUGUGCAAAUUAAAUAAAAGAUAUACUGAAACUUAACUAACCAAAUUUCAUCAUAUUUGAAACAUACAAUCUAAAUUAAAAAAUUAAUUGCUUUCACAAUUAAAUAUAUUUGAAUGAAAUACAAGUAGCAUUACUCAAGAUAUUAUACCCAAAAUAAUAAAAUGUAUCAUGCAUACCAAUAUCACAUACAAAAUAACAAUAUCAUAUUCAAAAUAGGAGGGAAGAGAAGAAGAGAGAGAGAGUUAAAAAAAAAAAACAAACAUUCCUUCACUUCACCCCAUGAGAGAGUAACCCUAAACAUCACCGUAAUUAAGUUCACAUUCUUUUUUCCUUCACGUCAACGGAAUUGAACUUUCGAUUGUAGUAAUAUUACGGUAAAUCAAACAGUGGAAAUGAUCAAGUUUCGUUGAAAAUCACUUCCUUUCUCCCCACUUACAAAACAAACAGGCUCUAAACAGCUAUAAUUUUUCGUCCAAGUAUCUAUUUUCAGCAUCCAACACUAAUUCGGAAAAUAAUCUCUCAAAAAAAAAACACUAAUUCGGAAAAUACUUUUCGAUAUCUACGGUUGAACAUCAAAGUCAUUCUAGCCGAGUUUGAGGCCCAAAUUCAACUGCUUAGGGCUUCAUUUUCACAUUUUUAGCUUAUUUUUGAGAAGUUUUCUAUUUUUUCUAUUUUGAGCCCAGUUCUUUAGUUAUUUCUGAUCAAUUUAGGUUUUGAGAUAUAUUACAAUUUAUUAUCUUUAUAAUAGGAUUUAGAUGUUGAUUCUAUAUAUCUUGUCUGUUUAGUUAGUAUAAUUAGUUUUUAUGGUUGAUUAAUGAUAUUUUCGUCUUUGUCGAAGAAUUAUGUUUUUAGUG